GGGGAUUUAGCUCAGUGGUAGAGCGUUUGCCUAGCAAGCGCAAGGCCCUGGGUUCCGUCCCCAGCUCCG
Molecule: non-coding RNA, 69 nt
Organism: Rattus norvegicus (Norway rat)
Lineage: Eukaryota; Metazoa; Chordata; Mammalia; Rodentia; Muridae
Source: Rfam